RNAcentral lists this ribosomal RNA (416 nucleotides) under Epyris sp. RNAcentral describes it as "partial large subunit ribosomal RNA". The record is from RNAcentral. Lineage: Eukaryota; Metazoa; Arthropoda; Insecta; Hymenoptera; Bethylidae.
AAAACAUCUCUUUAUGAUUAAAAUAUUAAGUUGUCUCUGCUCAAUGAAUUAAUUAAAUAGCUGCAGUAUAUUAACUGUACAAAGGUAGCAUAAUCAAUUGUUUUUUAAAUGGAAACUAGAAUGAAUGAGGUGAUGAAAUAAAAACUUUAUUAAUUUUAAUAUUUGAAUUUAAUUUUAAAGUAAAAAAUCUUUAAUAUUUUUAAGGGACGAGAAGACCCUAUAGAAUUUAAUAUUUUAUAAAUAAUUUUAUAAUUUAUAAAAUAUUUGUUUGGGAGGAAUUUUAAAUUAUUAAACUUUAAAUAAUUUUAUACAUUUAUUAAUGAAUUUUAUAGAUUUUAAUUUUUAAUUAAUAGAUUAAAUUACCUUAGGGAUAACAGCGUAAUAAUAUUUUAUAGUUCUUAUUGAAAAUAUUGUUU